UACAUAGGGGGCGAGCGUUAUCCGGAAUUAUUGGGUGUAAAGGGUGCGUAGACGGGGUCUUAAGUUAGUAGUGAAAUCCCUCGGCUCAACUGAGGAAUAGCUACUAAGACUGGGACUCUUGAGUACUGGAGAGGAAAGUGGAAUUCCUAGUGUAGUGGUGAAAUGCGUAGAUAUUAGGAGGAACACCAGUGGCGAAGGCGACUUUCUGGACAGAAACUGACGUUGAGGCACGAAAGUGUGGGGAG
RNAcentral lists this ribosomal RNA (245 nucleotides) under uncultured Eubacteriales bacterium. Its description in RNAcentral is "uncultured Clostridiales bacterium partial 16S ribosomal RNA". It matches the Rfam family "Bacterial small subunit ribosomal RNA", at positions 524 to 768 of the family's 1533-position model. The record is from RNAcentral. Lineage: Bacteria; Bacillati; Bacillota; Clostridia; Eubacteriales.